UGAGGAAUAUUGGUCAAUGGGCGCGAGCCUGAACCAGCCAAGUAGCGUGAAGGAUGAAGGUCCUACGGAUUGUAAACUUCUUUUAUAAGGGAAUAAAGUCACCCACGUGUGGGUGUUUGUAUGUACCUUAUGAAUAAGCAUCGGCUAACUCCGUGCCAGCAGCCGCGGUAAUACGGAGGAUGCGAGCGUUAUCCGGAUUUAUUGGGUUUAAAGGGAGCGUAGACGGGCCGUUAAGUCAGCUGUGAAAGUUUGAGGCUCAACCUUAAAAUUGCAGUUGAUACUGGCGUCCUUGAGUACGGUUGAGGCAGGCGGAAUUCGUGGUGUAGCGGUGAAAUGCUUAGAUAUCACGAAGAACCCCGAUUGCGAAGGCAGCCUGCUAAACCGCCACUGACGUUGAGGCUCGAAAGUGUGGGUAUCAAACAGGAUUAGAUACCCUGGUAGUCCACACGGUAAACGAUGGAUACUCGCUGUUGGCGAUAGACUGUCAGCGGCUUAGCGAAAGCGUUAAGUAUCCCACCUGGGGAGUACGCCGGCAACGGUGAAACUCAAAGGAAUUGACGGGGGCCCGCACAAGCGGAGGAACAUGUGGUUUAAUUCGAUGAUACGCGAGGAACCUUACCCGGGCUUGAAUUGCAGACGAAUUGCUUGGAAACAGGCAAGCCGCAAGGCGUCUGUGAAGGUGCUGCAUGGUUGUCGUCAGCUCGUGCCGUGAGGUGUCGGCUUAAGUGCCAUAACGAGCGCAACCCUCGUGUCCAGUUACUAGCAGGUUAUGCUGAGGACUCUGGACAGACUGCCAUCGUAAGAUGUGAGGAAGGUGGGGAUGACGUCAAAUCAGCACGGCCCUUACGUCCGGGGCUACACACGUGUUACAAUGGGGGGUACAGCAGGCAGCUACCGGGCGACCGGAUGCCAAUCCCGAAAGCCUCUCUCAGUUCGGACUGGAGUCUGCAACCCGACUCCACGAAGCUGGAUUCGCUAGUAAUCGCGCAUCAGCCACGGCGCGGUGAAUACGUUCCC
This 1017-nucleotide ribosomal RNA is filed under the name uncultured bacterium. Its description in RNAcentral is "bacterial SSU rRNA". It matches the Rfam family "Bacterial small subunit ribosomal RNA", at positions 355 to 1375 of the family's 1533-position model. The record is from RNAcentral.